Molecule: long non-coding RNA, 518 nt
Organism: Triticum aestivum (bread wheat)
Lineage: Eukaryota; Viridiplantae; Streptophyta; Magnoliopsida; Poales; Poaceae
Exons: 3
Source: RefSeq, a predicted model, not a curated record
AUUUUUGUGGGCAUCUAACGCCAAUGUAUAACUACCCCUGAUCUAUUGAGCCCUUUUCAAAAGCGGCCGUCAACACCGCGGUAGACAGAAAAUGGUUUUAGCCUCCACCAUGGACAUGGUGCUUCUAAUUUUCACCGGCGACAUGUACAACGGAGCGGUCAAAUUCUUGGGCCGCCUAUGGUGAAGCCGUCUAUCAGGCUGUCCGUCAAGAAUCUAUACAUCCAUGCAUGGCCAUCGUGUGAGCUUUAACCACGAAGAGAGACGGCCAAACUGCACGCUGUACGUAGACAUGCUCCAACAUCGUUGGCAACCUGACAUCGGCGUCCUCGUUUGCCACUAUCUACUUGUCCUCGCCGCCAUGCGGCCAACCGGCCCGUCGUCAAUACCUAUUAUAUGAUGCAAGCAUGGCAUCACAUCUGCAUCAGACGCAUGCAUGACAUGUAGUACAAUACUGAUCGACUAUUUAAUCCAUCUACACUACGAUUGUUGAUAGAAUAACACUUUUAUGUGUAGUCACU